AGAGUCGGCGCCACGAGGGGGCCGAGCGGGGUGCGGCGGCGGCGGGGCGCUCCGGGGAGGCCAGGGCAGCUGAUGGUUGUGGCAGAAACAUCUCAAGGUAGCUGGUCCGCCCCCACUUCCCCAUCUACCUCUUGUCCUCCCCCCCACACCACCACCACCCUGGCUCCCCUCCCUCAUGACCGCCUGGAUCCUCCUGCCUGUCAGCCUGUCAGCGUUCUCCAUCACUGGCAUAUGGACUGUGUAUGCCAUGGCUGUGAUGAACCACCAUGUAUGCCCCGUGGAGAACUGGUAUGAAGGACUCUGCAGACAACCUCGCUCUAAAGCUUCCUUCAUCUCUGUCCCCUCUUGGGCCUGAGGCUGCCACGAGCCAGACUGCAACCCUGAGUCUCACUGCUCUUCUCUGAAAUUGGUCCCCAGGCAUGGCUUCAUGCCACCUACCCACUUACCACCAUCCCUUUGCCCCUUUGGUUACUGCUUCAGGCGGGCACUGGGGAGUGGGAUCUUCUGUCCCUGUCGGGGAGGUCUGGGAGAGAGUCCUCUUUGAGGCCUGAGGCUAUAGGCCAAGGGCCUGGGGGCAGUCCCUUCCCCCAGUCUACUCCCUGUCCUGCCUGCCAGGUCCUACAACGAGUCCUGCCCUCCUGACCCUGCUGAGCAAGGGGGCCCCAAGACCUGCUGCACCCUGGACGAUGUCCCCCUCAUCAGUGGCCCUGAUCUGCCUCCUGCGCUACGGGCAGCUCCUGGAGCAGAGUCGGCACUCUUGGGUUAACACCACGGCACUCAUCACAGGCUGCACCAACGCCGCAGGCCUCUUGGUGGUCGGCAACUUUCAGGUGGAUCAUGCCAGGUCUCUGCACUACGUUGGAGCUGGCGUGGCCUUCCCUGCGGGGCUGCUCUUUGUUUGCCUGCACUGUGCUC
RNAcentral lists this small RNA (915 nucleotides) under Pongo abelii (Sumatran orangutan). RNAcentral's name for it is "retained intron". Lineage: Eukaryota; Metazoa; Chordata; Mammalia; Primates; Hominidae. The record is from RNAcentral.